AUUGGAGAGUUUGAUCCUGGCUCAGGAUGAACGCUGGCGGCGUGCCUAAUACAUGCAAGUCGAGCGAAUGGAUUAAGAGCUUGCUCUUAUGAAGUUAGCGGCGGACGGGUGAGUAACACGUGGGUAACCUGCCCAUCAGAAGGGGAUAACACUUGGAAACAGGUGCUAAUACCGUAUAACAUUUUGAACCGCAUGGUUCGAAAUUGAAAGGCGGCUUCGGCUGUCACUUAUGGAUGGACCCGCGGUGCAUUAGCUAGUUGGUGAGGUAACGGCUCACCAAGGCCACGAUGCAUAGCCGACCUGAGAGGGUGAUCGGCCACAUUGGGACUGAGACACGGCCCAAACUCCUACGGGAGGCAGCAGUAGGGAAUCUUCGGCAAUGGACGAAAGUCUGACCGAGCAACGCCGCGUGAGUGAUGAAGGCUUUCGGGUCGUAAAACUCUGUUGUUAGGGAAGAACAAGUGCUAGUUGAAUAAGCUGGCACCUUGACGGUACCUAACCAGAAAGCCACGGCUAACUACGUGCCAGCAGCCGCGGUAAUACGUAGGUGGCAAGCGUUGUCCGGAUUUAUUGGGCGUAAAGCGAGCGCAGGCGGUUUCUUAAGUCUGAUGUGAAAGCCCCCGGCUCAACCGGGGAGGGUCAUUGGAAACUGGGAGACUUGAGUGCAGAAGAGGAAAGUGGAAUUCCAUGUGUAGCGGUGAAAUGCGUAGAGAUAUGGAGGAACACCAGUGGCGAAGGCGACUUUCUGGUCUGUAACUGACGCUGAGGCUCGAAAGCGUGGGGAGCAAACAGGAUUAGAUACCCUGGUAGUCCACGCCGUAAACGAUGAGUGCUAAGUGUUGGAGGGUUUCCGCCCUUCAGUGCUGCAGCUAACGCAUUAAGCACUCCGCCUGGGGAGUACGACCGCAAGGUUGAAACUCAAAGGAAUUGACGGGGGCCCGCACAAGCGGUGGAGCAUGUGGUUUAAUUCGAAGCAACGCGAAGAACCUUACCAGGUCUUGACAUCCUUUGACCACUCUAGAGAUAGAGCUUCCCCUUCGGGGGCAAAGUGACAGGUGGUGCAUGGUUGUCGUCAGCUCGUGUCGUGAGAUGUUGGGUUAAGUCCCGCAACGAGCGCAACCCUUGAUCUUAGUUGCCAUCAUUAAGUUGGGCACUCUAAGGUGACUGCCGGUGACAAACCGGAGGAAGGUGGGGAUGACGUCAAAUCAUCAUGCCCCUUAUGACCUGGGCUACACACGUGCUACAAUGGACGGUACAAAGAGCUGCAAGACCGCGAGGUGGAGCUAAUCUCAUAAAACCGUUCUCAGUUCGGAUUGUAGGCUGCAACUCGCCUACAUGAAGCUGGAAUCGCUAGUAAUCGCGGAUCAGCACGCCGCGGUGAAUACGUUCCCGGGCCUUGUACACACCGCCCGUCACACCACGAGAGUUUGUAACACCCGAAGUCGGUGAGGUAACCUUUUUGGAGCCAGCCGCCUAAGGUGGGAUAGAUGAUUGGGGUGAAGUCGUACGGGAACCCCCAAAGAA
RNAcentral lists this ribosomal RNA (1524 nucleotides) under Bacillus cereus. Its description in RNAcentral is "bacterial SSU rRNA". It matches the Rfam family "Bacterial small subunit ribosomal RNA". Lineage: Bacteria; Bacillati; Bacillota; Bacilli; Caryophanales; Bacillaceae. The record is from RNAcentral.